CUCACCCUAUCUCUGAUUCUUCAGAUUCUGAUCUCUCUAGCUAUGACAUCUAUUAGAUCUAGAUUAGUUUGUCUCCUAUGUCUAGGAUCUAUCUUAUGGGCUUUGUAUUUGUUGGCUAAUUAACUCUUGGAUAGUUUCUAUCCAUGACUUUUGUAUUUUGAGUUGACUCAUGUGUAUUGGGACACCUUUUGUAUUCAGUCACUUUUGAAUAUAUAUAUGUGCUUUGACUUUCAAUGAAUGUCUAUGAAUAUGAUCAAAUUGAAUUGUUUUAAUUAUGAGAUAUGAAAAAUAACUCAUAUUAGUGCUGAGAAAUAUUAUGAAUUGCAAUAUCUUCUAGAUGAGCAAGUUGAUAUAUCCUUUAUGUUUGCUAUGUUGAGAGGGAGUAGAGAAAUAAGCAAUCAAAGAAGGGGGCUAAAGAAGUAAAAUAUGGUAUCAAAAAAGGAGAGUAAAGAAAAUAUAUCUUUUUUAUCAUCUUUCUUUUCUUUUCUCUAUCCUUAAAAUCCCUUAAGACCUUAAUUGAUGCUAUCAAACAGGGAGAGUAAAAAAAAAUUUAUCCUUUCAAGAUCCCUUAAAAGGAGGAGUAGAGAAUCUUAAUUGAUGCUGUCAAAAAGGGAGAGUAG
Molecule: long non-coding RNA, 620 nt
Filed under: Elaeis guineensis (African oil palm)
Lineage: Eukaryota; Viridiplantae; Streptophyta; Magnoliopsida; Arecales; Arecaceae
Description: long non-coding RNA (EGUI_LNC076526)
Source: RNAcentral